Non-coding RNA from Oryza sativa Japonica Group (Japanese rice), 4470 nucleotides. NCBI's taxonomy places the organism in Eukaryota, Viridiplantae, Streptophyta, Magnoliopsida, Poales, Poaceae. The record is from RefSeq and is a predicted model, not a curated record.
CCCAACUCUCUCUCUCUCUCUCUCUCAUCGGAUCGGUGUGGGUUUUUGGUGGUCGUCGCCUGAUCCCUCCUCCCUGCGGCGGAUCGAUGACGGAAGGAAGAGAAGGGGAGCAGAGGAGAGGAGAGGAAUCUCGUCGUGUCUGUCAGUACAGGAGGGGGAGCGAUAAGACGGACGAAACGAGCGGAGCGGGCGACCCCCAUGAUUUCACGCGAUUCAGGAGCAGCAGCAGAGGCAAUUCCUUUUCGCUGGCUGCUGCAGCCUUUUGUGGCGCAGAUAACUAGAUGACUCAUGCCAGUCCGUCAACGCUCGCUAGGAGAACCAACUCCUCCUCCUUAUGUCUGGUUGAGAGUUCCUGCUGACAUGGAUGAUUAUUGGAUGUUCGAUCGGAUAUCUAUCUAGGACACACCUCGCACCUCUAGGAACUAUUAACUCCUAGAUGUGCGAAGGCAGCCUUAACUAGGCUGUGUUUGUUCAUUGCGGUUCCGAAAUUAAAUUUACAGUGCAUGUAAAACAAAGCUAUCAAUUAGCAUUUAAUUAAUUAGGUAUUAGCUAUAUUUUAUUUAAAAAAUAGAUCAAUAUGAAUUUUCUAAAUAAUUUAUAUAUAUAUAUAUAUAUAUAUUAUGAAAGAAAAUACCGUUUAGAAGUUUAUAAAAAACGUGAUGAUGGAAAAAAAAGAGAUUAGUUGGGAAAACACAGCCGGCCCUAAUGAGUCAGUGAAUAGCGAGCGAAGGGAAGGAGUGAGUCAGAUAAGGGAGAGGGGCAGGGAUGGAAUUUCGCGUGCCCCUCCCUCUCUUCUUCUUUCCAGGGAUAAGUUACUAAUGGGGAGAUCGGAUCUGGCCUCCCAACUCUCUCUCUCUCAUCGGAUCGGUGUGGGUUUUUUUAUGGUCGUCGCCUGAUCCCUCCUCCGUGCGACAGAUCGAUGACGGAAGGAAGAGAAGGGGAGGGGAGGAGAGGAAUCUCGUCGUGUCUGUCAGUCUGUCAGUACAGGAGCUCAGUACAGGAGCAGGAGCGACGAGAGUUUCUGAUUUGAGGGAGGGAGGCGCACAGAUUUUCUCUUCUUUCUUUCUUCGUUUUUGUUUUGUUUUGUUUUGCCAGACUUUUUACCACCCUCCCCCUCGCAUCGCAGAGGAGGGAGGAGCAGAGGACAUGCAGUACCUUUUUCGCCUUUUGUGGCGCGCGCAGAUAAUCUCAUGCCGUCGUCCGUCAACGCAAAAUCGCAGUGCCUCCGAUCCGGUCCAACGCUACGCUGCCAUGGAUAUGCGACUGUAUAGGAGCUGUACAUCACUAGGAGCUCUACUGAUCCUGUAAAUUUCUGAUAUGAUAUACCACAUGCUCUAGCGACAUGCGUUAAUACGCUACGUUUUCUUCUUCUUUCCCACCCCAAACAUAUAGUAUAUUUUUAAGAGAGAUACACUGGUUCUAUUUUCCCCCCAUCAUUAAAAUACUUAGUGCUACUGCCUAUAUUUGUUGUUGGCUUGUAAGCACUGCUCGAUCCUUCUCCAACUUAUUUAUACAAAUUGUGGGGCAUCUUUUAUUUUGUUACGAUAAUGCUUUCAUCAUUUUUUUACUAUAUAUAUUAAAUAUAAUUUUCGAGAAACAAUAUUAAUGUAUUUUUAGUUUUGUAUUCAUAAAUACUUUCUUCUACUUAUAAUUUUGUACACAAAUAUUAUAAUAUAUUACCAACUACACAGAGUAAUAGUUGAUCAAAGCAUUGUACUGGCGAAACAAAAUAUAUGCCCUAUAACUAAACUUGUACGGAGUAACUUGUAGUAUAACUUUAUUUUCUCUGUACCCUCCAGAAAGGUGAAAUCGACCUAUGCAUGCCAUGGGAGCACUAUAAGAUGCACACCAAUCACUUGCACACGGCCUUGUGAAUAAAAUCUUAUUUCUAAAUUCCUCUUUGAAGUUGCCCCUAAGGAUUCAUGUGAUUUUCUUGCACAAUUUUCUUAGCUUUCUAUUCAAGUUACAUUGAACUACAAACAUGUUACAAGUGGCUGGGUGAAAAAUAACAACAUGAUACAUACUUUUUUUGGGGGGUGCACUUAUAUAAGAUUAAUUUAUGAAGAAUGACAAGACACAAAAUGCAAACUUAUUCUUAGAAGAUUCUUGCCAUGCUAUGCCCUGCUUGAACCAUUGAAUUAUAAUAUGGAAUAAAAAGUCUAUCCAACAGUUGUUGGUGGUAUUGCUUACGUGGCUCACAUGUUAGCUCAUUUUACUCAAGCCGAGCCCUUUCCUCACUAAUCAGUGAGCCCAGGAAUACUAUACAUUAACACACUUCUUUUUCAUGCUGUAUGACUUACUGAAUUUUUUUUUAUCGAAUCCAUCACCAUUUCACUAUCACUUGUCAUAGUCCACAUGGCCAAGCCACUAUGGAGCUGUUCGAACUGCUUUUCAUACUUUAGUGGAUUGAAUACUCAGUUCUAUUUUUUUCAUAGUUUAGUGGGUUGAAUACUUGGACCAUUGAUUCAGAUUGGGCAAUUUCUCCUUUCCCAAGAUCAUCCUAAUGCCCUCUGUAAUGAAUUCUGUUUUAGCAGCCUCUUUAUGUUGACACCGUAAUCAUUUUAGCAGCCUCUUUGUACUGACACCAUAGUUUUAUUUCCAUUCUAUUCGUUCCAUAUCACUACAAAAUGUUAUUGAAUUUGAGAUGACCAUUAUUUAUCUUUAUCCUCUUUACAAAGAGAAGUUAGGCAGCCUGUGCAGAUUCGUAGUACUAGGAAAUAUCCCAUCCAGUCCUGGUUCUUAUAUUUUAGGACGGAGGGAGUAUUUGUCAUUUUUGCCUAUGUGGCAUGCCAGUCUGGCAAACUAUUUGCCAUUAUUAAUAUAAAUCAUCUUUCAUACACUAUAUAAGAUAUUUUUAUGCUAUUAUCUCUUGUAUAAGCAAAUUUCUCUCAUAUACCACAUAAAAAUAUUUUUUUUCUAAAAACUAAAUAUACCAGAAAAAAUUUAAAACAUGUAUACAAACUUCCAUAUUUUGUAACAAGGCGGCAAGGCCACACAAAAAAAAUUAUAUAUUUUUUGAAACUUCUAAUGAAAUAAACCAAUUGUUAAUCUUGUAUGUCUCUAAGUGUAUUUUGGGUAUUUUUGAAAAGAAGGCCCAAUCCAAUGGUGUAUUGUAAAACAACUGAUAAAGUCGUUGGUAUAUUAUAGAAAGAGACAAUGUCAAUGGCAAAUUGUUAAACUCGAACAAACUCAGUGGUAUAUAAUAAAUUCUCUCUAAUCUAAUAUGCAACGGAUGACAUGUGGGCUCCACAUAUUAGUGUGCACCACAAAAAAUUUUUAAUGAAAAAUGGGUCCCACAUAAGCGCUACAUCAACGCCAUAGAUCAGGUCAACACUGCCACGUAGACGCCACGUCAGUGAAACCGCCCUCCAAAACCACUAAGGAUGCGUUCAUUCCCAGCCGUUCCCAACUCCCUCUUCUCGUUUUCCACACGCAUGCUUUUCAAACUGCUAAAUGGUGUGUUUUUUUAAAAAAAAAGUUUUUAUACAAAAGUUGCUUAAAAAACCAUAUUAAUCCAUUUUUAAAAAAAAUAGCUAAAACUUAAUUAAUCAUGCGCUAAACGCUGCUUUGUUUUGCGUGUCGGCUCCCGAACACAGCCUAAGAGAGUAAAAUUGCAUCAGUUUUAAUAAUUGGGUGUGUGUGUGAAGAUAUCCGGUAUUGCAGUCAUACGAAUUAGAUUGGGUCACUGGUGUCAAGGGAGUCAAAGUGAACUUAGUCUUUAUUUAUUUAUUAUCACUGGCCUUCGAGAAUCUCGGCUGGACUAAAUCGGAGACUAAGGCCGACCCAAGUCGAACGCAACCCAAACAAAAACGAAUCUGGCUAACCCUAACUCUAGCAGGCGACAUCGAGGUCGAGAUCGAGGGAUUUAUGGCGUUCCCUUGAGAGAGAAGCUGACGAGGAGCGCGCGCCAUGGUUCCCAGAUGGCCGGCGGCUACGGUGUUGAGUGGUUUCAAGUAGUGUAUGGGAAGGCGGAACAAGCAUCAGCCGUUCUGUCACAACAUGAUCUGGUUAGAGAAAGCGGUGAGAGCUUGAUCCUUGAGCGCAGGAAGAAGAUUGGCACACACAACAUAAGGCAUUUGUGGAUGGUUGCUGCAUUUGCAAUGUCUGGCUACCUUUUCGGUGCUGGGGUCGCUACCCUUAUCAAAGGGAACAACAGACGAACACCUGAAGCGGCAGGAACUAAGGAAGAUACAACAGACGAACACUAGGAGCGGCAGGAACUAAGGAAGAAGCUUGGACGACUAGAAGAGUAAUAGUACUCAAUUCCAAAUGGACUGGAAAUGAUUCUGUAAUCAAAUGCCUCUAACAAGCUGUGGUAACCUUGGACCGUCUAUGAUUUAAAUCGUUGUUGAUUGGGACCUCCCUUUUAUAUCAUGUAACUUAGCUGCUGUUGCGAGUUCUCUGAAAUGCUUGUCACUUUUUUUUAAUUCCCUCCUGAAUCCUGAAUGAUGGUCAUCAGAAUGUCAUAAA